CUUGACAUGUCAGGAAGCUCUUGUAACGAGAGCGUGCCCGCAAGGGAGCCUGAACACAGGUGCUGCAUGGCUGUCGUCAGCUCGUGUCGUGAGAUGUUGGGUUAAGUCCCGCAACGAGCGCAACCCUUGUCACUAGUUGCUACGAAAGGGCACUCUAGUGAGACUGCCGGUGACAAACCGGAGGAAGGUGGGGAUGACGUCAAGUCCUCAUGGCCCUUAUG
Molecule: ribosomal RNA, 221 nt
Filed under: uncultured beta proteobacterium
Lineage: Bacteria; Pseudomonadati; Pseudomonadota; Betaproteobacteria
Description: partial 16S ribosomal RNA
Rfam family: Bacterial small subunit ribosomal RNA
Source: RNAcentral